UUGCUCCCAUUUCUUUGCUCUGAUCGAAAGCUCUUUAGACCGUCAACAUUAAUACAACAAUCUCGUUAUAAAGCCUACCAGUCGUCUUACCACGCUAACCAUUAAUGUUAUCAGCUCUCACUAUACUUGCACCCUUUGUUGUCUACAUCUUCAUAUACCUCGUGUAUUACUUACUUAAAGGCUAACGAAACAGUUACCUCUUAAAAUUAUUGUCUAAAACUCAUUUCACCUUUACGAUAUUUGUUGUCGUUAAAUAUCUAUAUUUAUUGUGAACACCUAAGCUACUCAUUUUCAUCAUCAUUUUCGACUUAUCAUGCUAACAGCCUUUGCAACUUUGAAAAUCUUUAAGUUAGGGGCCAACGUAACUAACAAAAAGAUACCAUAGCAUAAAAUGGGGGAGUCUUUAUUCAUACCCUCCAUUGCCCAUACAUAUGUGUCAAUGUGGGAAGCUUAGGGGAACUUAGUUUACUACAUCAUAACAAAAGAAGGUCGCCCCAGAUCUGACCAUUACAAAAGAAACACAACCACUCCACUCACCCCUACAUACUUAGUUUUCGUCUUAAGCUUCAGAUAGGCAUCUUACACGUGACCUUGUUAUGGUCCGUUCCUCCACACCUGCUGCAGGUCCUGCGGCGCUUGAAACCACCAGUCAUCUGCAAGUAGACAAUGAUUUUCUCGCUAACUGGUUAUCUAAACUCCACGACUUCCCGUAAUUGGUAAAUGUAAACGGAACAUAAUAAUGAUACCAACCUUGAACUCCCCACGAGAUGGGAUUCUUGCCUUCCUUGGCCUACCAGGGGGCCGGCGAGUUGUUGGAGGAAGGAGGUGUGAUGUGCCGCAGUCCACGGAUCAUUACAUGGAACCGGCUCAGCAUGGAGUUCAGGACGUUCUGAACAUUUCAACCGAGGUUCAUGUUUUUCAUCAUGCCAGACUUGAGAAAGAUCAUGCCAGACUUGAGAAAGAUCAUGCUAGACUUGACGUGGAUCAUGCCAGACUUGAUGAGGAUCAUGCCAGACUUGACUUGGAUCAUGCCAGACUUGACGUGGAUCAUGCCAGACUUGACUUGGAUCAUGCCAGACUUGACUUGGGUGGUGAAGAAACUGAAGACGGACAUGUAUUCUCAUCCGGCGGACCAUCCGGACAGUCCCGCAAGCGUCCUUAUCGUUACCCCGUGCAUCUAUCUGGUUCGGAUGAACCUAGACAUCUUGACAAGUCUUCUCCAUAUUCCGUGCCUUGACCAGAUCUAGUCUUCUCCAUUUUCCGUGUCUUGACUAGAUCUAGUCAAAUUUGUAUUUUCUAUGCAUUGUUUUCCCACAUUUUCUUUAAUUGUCUUUGACUACAAAAUACUAUAAAUAUGUAGUCCAUUUCAUCAAUAAAAUCAGUUCAGUUCAGUUUUGGUUGUUUAUUUGUUUCUUCUCUGAGAGAGAGAGAGAGAGAGAGUUCUUUAGCUAGUUCAUUGGUGUGAACCGGCUUGUUGAUUUGGUGGUCAGCCAAUUCAUCUUUGUGUGUUGUUUGGUGGUUAGCCAACACAUUCAUUCUUUCUUUGGUGGUUAGCCUUAGAUCGAAAAAUCCUCUGAAAGAGAAGCUUUACUGGAACGAACUUAUGGGGUCUUUGAAGCUCUGUACUAUCGACAUUGCUAUCGACAUGCUGAAGAAGAAGGUUGUAAAAGGCACUGAGGCGAGGAUCAAGUUUGCGUGCCUUGCAAUCACAUCGUCGAUUCUGUUUCCUUCUUCACACACACCACGGAUCAUGCCGGAGCAUGUUGAAAUGAUACGAGAUUUAGAUGAGUUUCUCGAAUUCCCUUGGGGCAGAGCUUCUUUCCACACGCUGGUUACUUCACUGAUUUCGAAGGAUGAAAUCGCAUUAUCGUAAGCGUCUGUUGCGAUCUGUGGGUACAUUGAUGCGAUUCAGCUGGUCCUAUUGGUUGCCAUUCCACAACUGAAAAAAGAGAUCACACCGUCGGAGCCAAUUGUCAUCGAGGAUUCCGAGAGCGAGGGCGAGUCCCCUGAAGAACAUGCACCGUCUGAGGAGGAAAACGUUGUGCCGCAGGAGAAACCAUCGCCGGCGACGAAGUACUGUCUCAUUCCCGGACAUGCCAAGAGCAUAGAUACCGAUUGCCAGGUAGUAAAUAACUCACACACCAUUUGGUUACCUGUUAUUUUCACCCGUUACUCGUUAACUUAAAUGAUAAAUGCUGAUAUAUCACCACCGCUGUUAACGUCGUAAAUAUCAAUUUCACUGUUACCUCAUCAAGAAUAUCAUAACACAUCUAAUUAUCGGGUAAACUUUUUCUUACCAACUAACGUUUACUUUUACUCUAGGUGCGUGUGAAGUGUAUCCUAAAUGAACCGUUCGAGGAGUGGUCAGCUGGACUAGACUUCCUGUGGGUCGAUGAGUCUUAUGACCUGGCUGUUGAGAACAUGGUCCAUCUGAUUUAUGAGGGUUUUGCCUUCUGCAAGGAAAUGUUCAAAGGUGGUCUUACCGCAAAUGAUCUUGCUCGUCUGAGGGCAGAGAAGAAACUGAAGGAGAAAGAACCAAAAGAAAAAAGCGACAAGGAUCAUCAUGCGGAGGCCCCAGACUGUGAGGGUUCCGACUCUCAAACCCAUAUUUUAAUAGCAAAUUUGGUUGCCUCGCAGCUUGGUGAGAAGAUCAGAUCCCCAUCCUCUGAUAUACGGGGUGAAAUUAGCUUCUUGGAGAAGCGUAUUUAUCAAGCUCUCGACGCCAAGCUCGAGAAAAUUGUGGCGUCAACUAUUCAAUCCCAGCAGCUAGCUUUCAUCCAGACCACCAUCUCACAAUCCCUUCAAGACAUUGAUAAUAAGGUCGUUGACACUCUCGUAUGCCAACUGAAGAUUAUGGAAGCUUCACUGCUCAAGGGUUUAUCUCAAGUCAUUGGCCAGCCCAGCUCCAGUCUUGAUGUUCCUGGUGAGGAUACGAGUUUUGAAAAGUUUUACCAGCCUGGACAGUUGUCAGACACCAGGGUUCCAUCUGUCAACGGCAGUAUUCCACUCGCGCCUGACAAUAUUAUCUCAGCAGAAGCUGCUGAUUUUCGUAUUAGCGCGGUUCUUCGUGAUCUGAACACGGUCCCUGAUCGCUUGACCCAGGAAAGCACAUAUGUUGUCGCUCGGAGACAAUCAAUUGAGGGGAAAUUGCCCGAUGGUGAGGAUAAUCAUGUAUCUAAACCAGUAAGAUAUCUAUUUACAGCUAACUAUAUUUGGUCAUUCUAUUAAAUUUGGUAUUCUCAUUUCUCUCCACCCCUUUUUUUGAUAAUCAUUGUCUAGGACACCCUUCGGUCCUCAAAGGCCGUAGAACUCCCUGCUCAAAAGACAGUCGAACAAGUGGGUGACAUUUCCUUAAUUGAGGAGCCACCAGUAGCAACCAACAUGAAUACAGAACAUGUAAGUUUAUAACUUAGCAACUAAACAUAUUGUUAUCAACUAACAAACGUUUGUCUUUCUCGCAGUCUGAGGAACCCGUAGAGCCUAACCAAAAUCCGGAGAUGGUAAAUUAAUUAUUUACUCUUCUCAACCUACUUUGAUGUCGUAUAUGAUUGCUUACACUCCCAUUGUACGUAGGAAUAUGAUCAAUCACUGGGAGCUCAACCUAUGGUUGUCGAUGAGCCUGUGUCGCAAGAAGUUGAGAUUGAAGAGGUAAUCUUCUUCCUCUGUCAGUAUCGUUCAAAGCCAUCUAUAACUCACUAUUCUCGCUCUUUACAUUUUCUCUGAUCCGCAAUGUAUGGUCACACACAAUCAGAUGCACAUUCCUUUUUAUCUACUCGAAAUGCCGUCUUUCUCACUCGGACUAUCGCAGGAGGAUGCUGUUGUUGGCAAGGAGAUGCGCAACCCUAUUAGCGACGCUUCCCCACCUAAGGAACAGGAGCUAGAGGUUCUGGAGCAGCGCAAGAGCAAAAGGCCUAGGUCAAGACCUGUUGGCCUCCAAGACUACAAGUACGAUCCGAAAGUAACUGCUGGUUUAUGCAUCAUCCCCGAUCUCGACCACCGUUUUAAGCUUAUGGAGGAGACGCUACUUAAGGAGUCGUAAGUAAACUAUACCCGUCCCGUUUACUGUUAAAACAUUUUGUAACUUACAAUAAAUUAUUUAAUUAUAAACGUAUAUCUUUACAGGGGAAUAAACCUUCUUAACGACUUUUCUGUCACUCCUACCGAGUUUUGUGAUAUUGGAUAUCACAUGACCAUUUUACCAACGGGGGUAAGACUCACUCCUCAAAGUCUAUAGUUUUUUGCACAUAUACUUACUUGUUUCCUCUGCUUUAGGUCAUGGAUGCCCUGAUCUGUUUCGUGUCUCGUGGCCUAGCGUCCGGUUCCAACGUUUAGAUUUACGACACCACCCUUCCUGUAGCUUUAAUGAACCACCCCUCUCGCUUCCAGAAGACCGCAGUUAAAGAUCGCGCAAAGCUGAAGUUUACUGAUGUCCAGCUUGUGAAACCCUUUGUGAAAUCGCCCGAGAGGAUUUAUUUCCCAUUCAACUUGGACAGACAACACUGGGUUAAAGUUUGCAUUGAUACGAAAGCAUGCACUGUAUUUGUGCUGGACUGCAACACAUCCUUUCGAAGUGACAACUUACUGAAGAAAGAGCUUAACCCUAUUUCUACCCUCAUCCCAUACGUUCUUAAGUACAUUGGCUAUAUGGAAACCAUCCCCGGUGCAAAGGCCUUUACGGUGUCGCGGUGCAAGGGAAUACCACAAAUCUCUACUCAGUCUGAUGCAGGAGUCAUGGCUGUGCUGUUGAUCGAAGCUCACGUGGCGGAGGGUCUGGGUGGUUGCAAGUCUAUCACUCCUCGUCUGCUUCCGGAGGCAUCCAAGCAAUUGGCCGUUAAAUUAUUCGAGUCCAUCUCUAUGUAACCUUGUUUCUAGCUCCCAACCUCUACAAUAAAGGCGAUGUUCCAAGCUUACCUGUUCUGUUUUUAAUUAGUUUUUAUGUAACUCUCAACUCUCUAUCGUAUUUGCAUUUUUUUUUUCUUGUUGGAUACUAAACAUUUUAAGGCUUUAACAUUUAUGUUACGUCGUAAACACUACCGAUAUCUUUGCUUUGCUACAAUCUUUUAGCCCUUCCUAAUUUCAUUCAGUCACUAUAUAAUCUAAUUUAACAUGUUAAUUUAGACUUGCUCCCAUUUCUUUGCUCUGAUCGAAAGCUCUUUAGACCGUCAACAUUAAUACAACAAUCUCGUUAUAAAGCCUACCAGUCGUCUUACCACGCUAACCAUUAAUGUUAUCAGCUCUCACUAUACUUGCACCCUUUGUUGUCUACAUCUUCAUAUACCUCGUGUAUUACUUACUUAAAGGCUAACGAAACAGUUACCUCUUAAAAUUAUUGUCUAAAACUCAUUUCACCUUUACGAUAUUUGUUGUCGUUAAAUAUCUAUAUUUAUUGUGAACACCUAAGCUACUCAUUUUCAUCAUCAUUUUCGACUUAUCAUGCUAACAGCCUUUGCAACUUUGAAAAUCUUUAAGUUAGGGGCCAACGUAACUAACAAAAAGAUACCAUAGCAUAAAAUGGGGGAGUCUUUAUUCAUACCCUCCAUUGCCCAUACAUAUGUGUCAAUGUGGGAAGCUUAGGGGAACUUAGUUUACUACAUCAUAACAAAAGAAGGUCGCCCCAGAUCUGACCAUUACAAAAGAAACACAACCACUCCACU
Molecule: long non-coding RNA, 5654 nt
Filed under: Brassica napus (rape)
Lineage: Eukaryota; Viridiplantae; Streptophyta; Magnoliopsida; Brassicales; Brassicaceae
Description: long non-coding RNA (BNAP_LNC017705)
Source: RNAcentral